RNAcentral lists this ribosomal RNA (468 nucleotides) under uncultured bacterium. RNAcentral describes it as "partial 16S ribosomal RNA". It matches the Rfam family "Bacterial small subunit ribosomal RNA", at positions 28 to 507 of the family's 1533-position model. The record is from RNAcentral.
GACGAACGCUGGCGGCGUGCUUAACACAUGCAAGUCGAACGGAAAGGCCCUGCUUUUGUGGGGUGCUCGAGUGGCGAACGGGUGAGUAACACGUGAGUAACCUGCCCUUGACUUUGGGAUAACUUCAGGAAACUGGGGCUAAUACCGGAUAGGAGCUCCUGCUGCACGGUGGGGGUUGGAAAGUUUCGGCGGUUGGGGAUGGACUCGCGGCUUAUCAGCCUGUUGGUGGGGUAGUGGCUUACCAAGGCUUUGACGGGUAGCCGGCCUGAGAGGGUGACCGGCCACAUUGGGACUGAGAUACGGCCCAGACUCCUACGGGAGGCAGCAGUGGGGAAUAUUGCACAAUGGGCGGAAGCCUGAUGCAGCAACGCCGCGUGCGGGAUGACGGCCUUCGGGUUGUAAACCGCUUUCGCCUGUGACGAAGCGUGAGUGACGGUAAUGGGUAAAGAAGCACCGGCUAACUACGUG